RNAcentral lists this RNase P RNA (419 nucleotides) under Nitratireductor sp. RNAcentral's name for it is "RNase P RNA component class A". It matches the Rfam family "Bacterial RNase P class A". Rfam says of the family: Ribonuclease P (RNase P) is a ubiquitous endoribonuclease, found in archaea, bacteria and eukarya as well as chloroplasts and mitochondria. Its best characterised activity is the generation of mature 5'-ends of tRNAs by cleaving the 5'-leader elements of precursor-tRNAs. Cellular RNase Ps are ribonucleoproteins. The record is from RNAcentral. Lineage: Bacteria; Pseudomonadati; Pseudomonadota; Alphaproteobacteria; Hyphomicrobiales; Phyllobacteriaceae.
CCAGCCGGCCGGGCAGCCGCUGCCGCCAGUGCCGAAAGGCCGCGGUGGAGGAAAGUCCGGGCUCCAUGGAAACACGAUGCCGGAUAACUUCCGGCCGGGGAAACGGGUUAACCCGCCAACCCGAGGGAAAGUGCCACAGAAAGCAGACCACCGCAGCAUGCUGCGGCAAGGGUGAAAGGGUGGGGUAAGAGCCCACCGCGUCUCCGGCAACGGCGAUGGCAGGGCAAACCCCAUCGGGAGCAAGACCGAAUAGGGACAACGCGCUUCCCCGAAAGGGGGGCAGGCAUGUUUUCAGGCCAGUUGUCCGGGUGGGUCGCGCCGAGGCAUCCGGUAACGGAUGUCCCAGAGGAAUGGCCGCCACGUCCGCGCGGGAAACCGUGCGGGCCAUACAGAACCCGGCUUACAGGCCGGCUGGUGCU